Molecule: long non-coding RNA, 421 nt
Filed under: Volvox carteri
Lineage: Eukaryota; Viridiplantae; Chlorophyta; Chlorophyceae; Chlamydomonadales; Volvocaceae
Description: long non-coding RNA (VCAR_LNC003272)
Source: RNAcentral
CGACGUCGUCCAGCAAGCUGGCACCCUGGGGGGGCUCAAUCGCGGCCGUGGAGUACUCUGCUACCCCAUUCAAAAGAGCCGGGGGUGCUGCUCCUGCCGGGUCAGGGCCCCGUGUAACUCCCCCCACGUCCCCCCCAACCCCACCGGCAACCCCGCUACAGCUGCUGCAGCUGCGUUUUGUGUCGCGAUGGUUACUGCUCUCAUUUCCUUUAGGCCCUGCUAGGCUAGCAUCAUUGCCCCCACCAUCAGCUACUCCAGAUGCCCCACUUGGUUCACACUCUUCCGCCGCCGCGUCGCUCCGGGCACCCCCCAACCCUACGGGCGCCUUCGCCGCCGUGUCAGCAGCAGUGGCUGCCGUACUUCCCCUCGUCGCCGGUGCACCCGGCACGAUCGACGUCCCUGCCCCAUCACCACCCGCCNN